UGGCGACGUGGGCGGUUCGCCGCCGGCGACGUCGCGAGAAUUCCACUGAACCUUAUCAUUUAGAGGAAGGAGAAGUCGUAACAAGGUUUCCGUAGGUGAACCUGCGGAAGGAUCAUUGGCGAACCUGCAACGCACAACGACCCGUGAACAUGUAAUUACAUCCCGGUGAGGGAUAUGGUCCUUGGUCCUUAUCCCUUUCCCCUCCCUGCAUGCGUGUGUGGAAUUCCGUUUGGGGUGCCAUGGAUGUCAUGUUGGGAUUUAACAAACCCCGGCACGGAAUGUGCCAAGGAAAACAAAAGUGAGAAGGACUCGUCUUGUCUUGCCCCGUUCGCGGUGUGCAAGUGGGACGUGGCCUCUUUGUAAUUAAAAACGACUCUCGGCAACGGAUAUCUCGGCUCACGCAUCGAUGAAGAACGUAGCAAAAUGCGAUACUUGGUGUGAAUUGCAGAAUCCCGUGAACCAUCGAGUUUUUGAACGCAAGUUGCGCCCGAAGCCAUCCGGUUGAGGGCACGCCUGCCUGGGCGUCACGCUUCGCGUCGCCCCCCACCAUAUAUACCUAACGGGUACUAAUAGUGUUUGGGGCGGAAAUUGGCCUCCCGCACCUGUGAUGCGGUUGGCCUAAAAAUGAGUCCCCUUUAGCGGACGCACGACUAGUGGUGGUUGAACAGACCCUCGUCCUUAUCGUGUGUCGUGAGCUGCAAGGGAAGCCCUCAACAAUGACCCUAUUGCAUUGUUUUUUGGACGAUGCUUCGACCGCGACCCCAGGUCAGGCGGGACUACCCGCUGAGUUUAAGCAUAUCAAUAAGCGGA
RNAcentral lists this ribosomal RNA (810 nucleotides) under Scorzoneroides carpetana. Its description in RNAcentral is "eukaryotic LSU rRNA". The stretch from base 372 to 527 matches the Rfam family "5.8S ribosomal RNA". Lineage: Eukaryota; Viridiplantae; Streptophyta; Magnoliopsida; Asterales; Asteraceae. The record is from RNAcentral.